RNAcentral lists this ribosomal RNA (267 nucleotides) under uncultured prokaryote. RNAcentral describes it as "partial 16S ribosomal RNA". It matches the Rfam family "Bacterial small subunit ribosomal RNA", at positions 524 to 792 of the family's 1533-position model. The record is from RNAcentral.
UACGUAGGGGCGAGCGUUAUCCGGAAUUAUUGGGCGUAAAGAGUGCGUAGGUGGUCUUGUAAGCGUGGGGUGAAAGGCAGUGGCUUAACCAUUGUUAGCCUUGCGAACUGUGAGACUUGAGUGCAGGAGAGGAAAGUGGAAUUCCUAGUGUAGCGGUGAAAUGCGUAGAUAUUAGGAGGAACAUCAGUGGCGAAGGCGACUUUCUGGACUGUAACUGACACUGAGGCACGAAAGCGUGGGGAGCAAACAGGAUUAGAUACCCUGGUA